AGAGCGAACGCUGGCGGCAGGCCUAAUACAUGCAAGUCGAACGGACCCUUCGGGGUUAGUGGCGGACGGGUGAGUAACACGUGGGAACGUGCCCUUUGGUUCGGAACAACUCAGGGAAACUUGAGCUAAUACCGAAUGUGCCCCCAUCCUUAAACAAGAUGGGUGGGAAAGAUUUAUCGCCAUUGGAGCGGCCCGCGUCUGAUUAGCUAGUUGGUGAGGUAAAGGCUCACCAAGGCGACGAUCAGUAGCUGGUCUGAGAGGAUGAUCAGCCACACUGGGACUGAGACACGGCCCAGACUCCUACGGGGGGCAGCAGUGAGGAAUUUUCGUCAAUGGGGGAAACCCUGAACGAGCAACGCCGCGUGCAGGAAGACACUUUUCGGAGCGUAAACUGCUUUCUCGGGGACGAGUAAGGACGGUACCCGAGGAAUCAGCCCCGGCUAACUACGUGCCAGCAGCCGC
RNAcentral lists this ribosomal RNA (462 nucleotides) under uncultured bacterium. Its description in RNAcentral is "SSU rRNA". It matches the Rfam family "Bacterial small subunit ribosomal RNA", at positions 26 to 518 of the family's 1533-position model. The record is from RNAcentral.